AUGAACGCUAGCUACAGGCUUAACACAUGCCAGUCGAGGGGAAACGACAUCGAAAGCUUGCUUUUGAUGGGCGUCGACCGGCGCACGGGUGAGUAACGCGUAUCCAACCUGCCCAUCACUUGGGGAUAACCUUGCGAAAGUAAGACUAAUACCCAAUGAUAUCUCUAGAAGACAUCUGAAAGAGAUUAAAGAUUUAUCGGUGAUGGAUGGGGAUGCGUCUGAUUAGCUUGUUGGCGGGGUAACGGCCCACCAAGGCAACGAUCAGUAGGGGUUCUGAGAGGAAGGUCCCCCACAUUGGAACUGAGACACGGUCCAAACUCCUACGGGAGGCAGCAGUGAGGAAUAUUGGUCAAUGGGCGAGAGCCUGAACCAGCCAAGUAGCGUGCAGGAAGACGGCCCUAUGGGUUGUAAACUGCUUUUAUAAGGGAAUAAAGUGAGAGUCGUGACUCUUUUUGUAUGUACCUUAUGAAUAAGGACCGGCUAAUUCCGUG
This 491-nucleotide ribosomal RNA is filed under the name uncultured bacterium. Its description in RNAcentral is "partial 16S ribosomal RNA". It matches the Rfam family "Bacterial small subunit ribosomal RNA", at positions 29 to 507 of the family's 1533-position model. The record is from RNAcentral.